GGUCCCAUGGUGUAAUGGUUAGCACUCUGGACUUGUAAAUCCAGCGAUCCGAAUUCUAAUCUCGGUGGGACCU
Nematostella vectensis (starlet sea anemone) is the source of this 73-nucleotide non-coding RNA. The record is from Rfam. Lineage: Eukaryota; Metazoa; Cnidaria; Anthozoa; Actiniaria; Edwardsiidae.